AGUAAUAAAAAAACAUGAUCCUGAUAGUAAAAGUACUAAUAAAUUUAGUUUUAAUAAAACAUAUAAAAACAAGAAAUGGAACAAUAAACAACCAAAUAUAGUAUUAGAAGUGUAGUCGAAAAUCGUCGAUAGCUUCAAAAAGAAAAAAAUCCCUCCAAUAAAUGUAAUAAAAAACGAGAAGUUAAAAAUAAGAAAAUCGUGCCAAAGUAUCAAAAGUGUAGUGAAGAAUGGAAUACUUCCAGCCCCCGGAAGCGUUUAAUAUACAGGAGCCACAUGGAUGGCCAAAAUGGGAACAAAGAUUUGAAAUAUUUUUGUUAGCUUCUGGAAAAAGCACUGCAGACGAGAAGAUAAAAGUAGCUCUACUGUUGAAUAUUUUUGGGAAAGCAUCCUAGGAUAUUUAUAAUACAUUAGAAACAACAAAACUAGAUUAUUAAUAAUUAAGGUUCACACCAGCAAUGAAAAUUUAGUGGUCCAAAAGGACCACCUAAGUUAUGAUUUAGUGGUCCAAAAAUAUAAUGUGGUAGACAAAAGUAAAAAAAUUAACAUAUGCAUGCUGCACACACUUUUAUACAUAUUUUUACAGCAUAUAUAAAUUCUUUUAUGCAAAAACGGCACAGUAAAUAUAAAACAUUUUUUUUUAAAUAUUUUGGGCGACAAAUUUGUCGUCGAUGUGUAUGAUUUUGUCGACAUUUCUUGAUGAUUUGGCGACAAUUGUCGCUAUGUCGCCAUGCUGGCGAGAACCCUAUUUAUAAUCUUGUUUUCAUGAACAUUUCUUAACCAAAAGAAAUGUGAGUAUGGAAUAGACUUACAGAAGUUAGGGAUAGCGAACUAGCGCAAUGCAGAGAUGGAGAAAAGCGUAGAGAAACUUCAAGCUAUGGGCCAAUAAAGUCUGCUGUGCUAUCUCGAUUUGGUGUUCCGUCCUUUUGUCCGACUCUGUAUACUAGUACGACGUUCCUUCUGUAGAACUUGGCCGCUCUUUCAAGCUUUGAGGAGCUUUUUAUAGGGGAGGUUUCAGUCUCCAUCUUUUUACACGUCCAGCUUGUUUACCAGCCAUUUUUUUCAAUUCCUCACCCCUAUUCUUAUACAAAUCCGUUUCCGCCUCAUCCCACUGUCUCGUCUUCAGUUUUCCUCUCCAUUCUCCAUGUAAUCACAUCCAUGUUUCUCUUGUUUAUCAUCUUUACACAUUCUCUCCCUUCAACUACUUCCAUUGAGACCAAUUUUGGCAUAUUUUUUCACUUUUAAGCAUCACUUUAACAUUUUUUUGAGAAUUUAAGAAACAUCAAAAUUGACUUUAGCUUUGCCAUAUUUUAUAUUGAAUUCAUACUGUAUUUAAAAAAAUCUUUUGGGGUGUCAGAAAUCAUACAACAAUUAUGUACAUACUCAUUUUAUUUUUUAUUUUUCUUUGAUACAGAAAAAACAGCAUCUAAUGCAGCUGGAUUUUUGUAAACACAUAAAUCCAUGAACGUUAUCACUAGCAUCAAAGCUUGUCCUAACAAUUCUUUAUUGACUGGUGUUUGAGAAUCAAAUGCAGCUUUCAGUUGCUGUUCUACCAUAAUUUUUGUACAAGGUAGAGAUGCUUCACUGGUUUCUACAUUAUCGUUUAAUAAUUCAUUUAUUGUAGUUACAGCAGCCACUUUUUCUUGUCCCACUAAUGUACUGAACAAUCUACAACAGAACAAAAUAAAUAUAUUAAUUCAAAAUUAAAAAAACCUUUAAAAGGGCUGAAUUGGAAAUAUUUGCCAAUUGGUGCAUAUUUCGAGAGUGAUUAUAUGUAUGCAUAUGGGUAAGAAAGUGGCGUAGAAGCAAAAACCACAGAAUUUUUUGGGAGUGAUUAAAAGACAUUACGAUAAUUAAUUUCAUAUCCAUUCCAUACAAAUAGAGGGUAUAUUCCCUCUAAAACUCCCCCAUAUUCAUGUGCAAUCAAAAUCAUUUGGCAGAUAUUUUCAAAAUAAGGUUCUCAGUUCAACUCAAUAAAGGGUUGUAUAUUUUUUAUUAUAGAGUUUAAAAAAGUAUACAUAAUAAUUUAAAUUAUAUAAAUUUCUUCAGAGGUCAUUAGAGCUAGCAAAUGGGUAAUAAGAUGAAUGAACUACCUCAUGGUAAAUAAAACCAAUUACUGUUAUUAUUCCAAGAAAAAUAAUCAUUAAUAUCUAAAAUUACCUUGCCGAUAACCUAGACUUAAGAUAGAAUACUCUAUUUUCAAUUGACGUAGGUGACGGUGUAUUUGUAUCAUUAACAUUUCGUAAAGUAACAUUGUGAUGCACGCUGGUAUUCAGUAAUGUAAAUAACAUAGCACUUAAUUCGAGUUGUUGGGAAUAAGCUGAUGCUGAAGUUUGAUUUUGUGGACCCAUAGAGGGUGAAGUUUCAAAAAUAUAAACAUCACUCGAUGGUAUUUUUCUGAUAAUGUUAAUAACCUAAAAUCAUACGGCCUUCAUCGAGAAAAAGAACUACUAUAUUCAUUUUAAAUACCUACCAUAUCAAAAUUAUCGUUAGGCAUCAUUUUUUUAGGUAAAUUAUUAAAACUAUCAAAAUUCCAAUUCACUAAUUUAUUUUGUUCUUGAGAUAAUUUAGCCCAACUUAUACCUAUGGGGGACAAAUGUACACCUACUGCAGAUUGUAGAGGCAUGGACCACAACUACUGGAAUCUUUUGAAAUGUGGAUAUUUUGAAACUAUCCUGGAUGGAACACAUCACAAACAUGGAAGUUAAGCAGAGAGUAGGAAAAGAGAAGGAAGUCGUCUUUAUAGUAUUUAGACUACAUACUAAAACUUGACAAAUACCGCUGAUAGUAAGAAGAGACCAGGGAAAAAAUAGCAUUCAUGGUUGCAUAAUCUGUGCCAGUGGUUCGGAGCCUCAUCUAUUGAUCUAUUUAGAAACACAGUGAAUAAACAAGAUAAGAAUAGCCAAUGUUCCCAAUGGAUAAGGCAAUGAAAGAAGAAGCUGGUCUUGAGAAGGGGUAUUUUUUUAUUUUAAAAGUUGAAAAAAAUUUUUUCCUACAACUAGAUUUCCAUUAUUUACUAAGGAUAUAGAUAUAUGGCAGAUCCUAUGUGAAUCCUGUAGGGUAGGACCGGGCCCAAGAACUCCCAAGGCCUGCCCAGAGACCCAGCAAUGGCUAGAACCGUCUCAGUUAAAACUUAUAAAUUCUUAUCAAAAGUAAAUGUGACUAUAUUCUAGUUCAAUAUUUAAUGCUUUUAACUAUUCAUUUGAAUUGCUACUUACAUUUAAAAUUUGUCCGUUAAUAGGUGGAGUAAUAAUCUGUUUUUGUCGUUUAUUUUUUGAAUUAUUUUUAGUUAAUUCUGUAGAAUCAAGUAUAUUAUUAUCACAUUUUUCGUUUAUUAUAUCUUGACAUAUUCUGUGCAA
Diorhabda sublineata is the source of this 3356-nucleotide long non-coding RNA. RefSeq lists it as uncharacterized. The transcript has 2 exons. Lineage: Eukaryota; Metazoa; Arthropoda; Insecta; Coleoptera; Chrysomelidae. The record is from RefSeq and is a predicted model, not a curated record.